Long non-coding RNA from Sceloporus undulatus (fence lizard), 1691 nucleotides. RefSeq lists it as uncharacterized. The record is from RefSeq and is a predicted model, not a curated record. The transcript has 3 exons. Lineage: Eukaryota; Metazoa; Chordata; Lepidosauria; Squamata; Phrynosomatidae.
UUUUGACAGAGCAACCGUUUCCUAGACCUGAAUGGAUUUCACAACAAUGUCUUCCCUUCCUUCCUAGGACUGCUGCAUAUUUGACUAGUGGACUAUGGACAGGGUAGCUACAAUUUUCAUUUAUCUGUUUGUUGCUGCCAGAAAGUGAAAUGAAAAUGCUUCACGCUUUAUGUUUAGAAAACCCUUAAUAUGUUUUGAGACGCCAAGGAAAUUCGGAAAGCUCUACUUAGCUGAAAGUAGAGUUUGCACCACACAGAACUCUUCAGUGUGGCUAUGCUAAAUCAUUCUAGGAGCAAUACCCCCCCCAAAAAAAAAGUGCAGAGGGGGGAGAAAGAAAGAAAGAAAGAAAGAAAGAAAAGGAACUUCCCCAGGUUCUGAAGAUAUGUCUAUAAAUAGCUGCUACAGAAUGGGAUCCUUCAUGUAGCCUUUAGAAAUAGUCACUCUUUUCAUGUGGCCAUAUGUCUUAUUCUAUUUAAAGAGAACAAUUCUGUUAAAAAACAAACCUGUUUUGGAAGGCAUCCCCCAUUGGAAGGGCUGUCUAGCAAGCCCAGCUUGAAAAUGAAGAACAUUAGAAAAUGCAGCAGGAACCUUGAAGCUGCUCAUCAGGAGCUUCAACCUGGACAGCAGAAUCAGUAGCACACAAGUCUUUUCCUAUGAAGAUGAGAACUAUUGUAUUUCUAUAUUGAUCAAUUGUCUGAAUAUAUAAUUAUCUGAAUAUUUAGAAAACAAAACUUUAAAACCAAAAGACCACAGAAGAGCUAAAUCACUUUAAAAUGGGUGGGUGAUAAAGAUGCUGAAAUUAUUAACGAUUUUCUGUAUCUUGACUCAGGCCGAAUCUGCCCUGCAGAAAUCAUGCGUUUUGACAUGACUAUAAAUGCCAUGCCUCCAUGCUAUGCAAUCCUGGGAUCUGUAGUUUGUUGUGGCACCAGAGCACUCUGACAGAAAAGGCUAAAUAUUUCACAAAACUACAAAUCCCAUAAUUCCAUAGCAUUGAGCCAUAGCAGUUAAAGUGAUGUCAAGACAUUAUUUUUGCAAGGCAGAUUCAGCUUCAAUCAUUAACCAAAACAGAGACUGUGGUAAGGAUAUCAGAAGAAAGAAGACUUGGCAGCUCUGAAGGAACUAGAUAAGAACCUCAAACAUAAAGAUAUAUCAUUGAAUACUAAACUCAAGAUCAUCCGUCCCAUAUUAAUUUUUAUUUCUAUGUACAGAUGUGAAAGUUGGACACUGAAGAAAGCUGGCUGGAGAUAAAAAGUAAGCUCAUCUGAAAUGUGAUGCUGGAGGAGAGUUCUACAAAUGCUGUGGACUGCUAAAAAGAUAAAUAAAUUGGUCUGAGAGCAAAUCAAACAUGGAUUCUCAUCCAAAGCCAAAAUGACUAAACUGAAACUAUGGUGUUUUGGCCACAUCACAUGGGAUGAUGUGAUUCUCUGGAAAGCUGUUAAUACUCAGUAAGGUGGGAGAGACAGUAGGAAAAGAGGAAAGCCAUAUUACAGGUGGACUGAUCUGCUUAAGAAAGCUAUGGCCCUAAGUUUGCAAGACCUGAACAGGGAUGUUAAUAGAAUCUCUAUUAUUCAUAGGUUCUCCAUCAGUGUCGCCAACAAGCCUCAAAGAUAAUUCCCUAAAAUGUUUGUCCAAAACCCGCUGAAUCCCCCCAGAUCACAUGGAAUAUUCAGUCACAAUUCCCAGAAAAUUCC